Long non-coding RNA from Bicyclus anynana (squinting bush brown), 2856 nucleotides. RefSeq lists it as uncharacterized. Lineage: Eukaryota; Metazoa; Arthropoda; Insecta; Lepidoptera; Nymphalidae. The transcript is spliced from 6 exons. The record is from RefSeq and is a predicted model, not a curated record.
UCAGGUGUAGCAAAAUAGAAGAUGAAGGUCUAGCUGUGCCAGUCGGUGCUGAGCCACACAGUUGCUGCUGGCAUGUUUGCAAAAUAGCACAAGGUGUAGCAAAAUAGAAGAUGAAGGUCUAGCUGUGCCAGUCGGUGCUGAGCCACACAGUUGCUGCUGGCAUGUUUGCAAAAUAGCACAAGGUGUAGCAAAAUAGAAGAUGAAGGUCUAGCUGUGCCAGUCAGUGCUGAGCCACACAGUUGCUGCUGGCAUGUUUGCAAAAUAGCAAAAGGUGUAGCAAAAUAGAAGAUGAAGGUCUAGCUGUGCCAGUCAGUGCUGAGCCACACAGUUGCUGCUGGCAUGUUUGCAAAAUAGCACAAGGUGCUGUAAAAUGAAGAUAUAUUGUUAAAUAUCAUGAGAUAGAAAUAAAAGAUGAAGAUCUAGCUGUACCCGUCCCGAGCCACACUACUGCAGCCACGUUGCUGCUGGCAUUUUUGCAAAAUAGCACAAGGUCACAACAAUUGAUGUAACAAAUAUAAUCAAUGGACCAGGCACCUGCACCAUGAUUCUUUGGAAUACUAAAAUUCGUCUCUUUAUGUCUGUACUUCUCAUAAUGAAAAAUGUCACGUUUUUAUGAAAGAAAUAAUGGAAUCAAAUAAUAAAUAAAACAAGCAUAUGCUGGAAGUCCUCAGAAACAGCUCCGACUUUGAUGAUUUUUUUUAAAGUAAUGUUUUUUAUGUUAUUUAAAAUCAGAAAUGUUUUGGUGGACGAAAUUAUUUAAAUUGUUAAAAAAUAUCUAUGCUAUUUAUACAUAUUUUUUUUUUAAAUACAACCGACUUCAAAAAUACAAACUUAUGCAGAAAACUAACAAACGAAAGAAAAUAUUAUAAUAUUUUCUAUCUAUUGAUCACUUUGAAGGCGGUGCCAAUGUUCCAAUUAAUGGGCCGACAAUUAGUUAUCUAUUGUUUACUAGCUAUAGGGCUCGAAUUGCUUUUUCAUAUCUUUAAAAGACUAUCUUCGGAAUGAACCCUUUAUAAUAAAAAAGUAUUAUCAAAAUCGGACCACUCAAUAAAAAGUUAUACUUGGUUGUAUACUAAAAUUAAUGGUUAAACAAUCAAUCAUCCCCUGUUUUCGUAAUGUAAAACCAAGAAUAACUGUUAACAUGAGUAGUCCGAUUUUGAUAAUUCUUUUGAUUGAUCAUUCUUGAUUGUUUUAGUUUAAAACCAAGCAUGUCUUCGAAUUCCGAUUUGAAUAACUUUGUUUUAAAUAGAAAGGGUAUAUUCCGACAAUGGUCCCAAAUCAUUAUAAAUUUUAAAAAAACGAAGAUGACUGGUUAUUUUCCCAUUAAUUGUAUUGUAAAACUAUGCGUAACUUAUUACGAAGUGGUCCGAUUUCGUAAAUUCUUUAUAGAUUGUAAAGGUAUUUUGAUUGUAAAGCUCCCAUAUAAAUUUUAAAAAACAAUUCCAAUCCUUAAUGUGCGAUUGAUUGUUUUCUCAUUCAUUUUAAUGUAAAACCAAGCAUAAGUUUUUAUUGGGUGGUUCUAUUUUGAUUAUUCUUUUUUUGAUAGAAAGGGUAUAUUCCUAAAAGUCUCAUAAAAUGUUGGAAAACAAUAUCAAACCUAAUAGUAGGAAAAUAGAAGAUGAUUAAUUGUUUUUCCAUUUAUUGUAAUGCGUAACUUUUUACUGAGUGGACCGAUUUUGAAAAUUCUUUACUUUUUGUAAAGGGUUUAUUUCGAAGUAGGUCCCAUAUAAAUUUCGGAAAACAAUUCGAAUCCUUAAGGUGGAAAAAAAACUGUACGAUUGAUUGCCUACCCAUUAAUUGUACAAUUGGCACCGGCUUCAAAGUAAUCAGUAGAUAUGAAAUAUUAUAAUGUUUUCUUCAGCUUAUUAGUUUACUGCAUAACUUUGUGUUUUUGAAGUCGGUAGUGUUUGUUUUUUAAUUAUUUAUUAUAUAAAUAGCAUAACUAUUGUUAAAUAGUAUAAAUCGUUCCAUCCUCACUCCAAAAGGUUUCUGAUUUCAAAUAAUAUGAAGAAACAAACUGAACAAAAAAAAUCAUCAAAAUCAGAGCUGUUUCUGAGGAAGUAGAGGGUAAAUGCUCUAUUGAUUCGCCUAAAAGUAAUAUUAUGAUUUUUUAUCGCAUUAGGUUGUAAAGUUCCGCUAGUGAAAGUAGAGACUGAAAUUGCCCGCCAAAUUUAAAAAUCAUAUAAACAAAGUAAAAAAACAUGCGUUUUCAUAAUUUACUUAAAUUAGUUUUUAUUUGUGAAUAUACUAUUACCUAUACUAUAAGUGUUAAACUCAGUUAUUCCAAUAUUUGCACUAUAAUUUUGAGAAUUUACUCCGAUUUUUUAAAAUUUGGCGGGUGAUUUCAGUUUCUACUUUUAUUAGCCAAAUUCUAAUAAUUUUAUUGUUUAUGAAAUUUAUACUAAUUAGAAAGAGGAAGAAUUUGAUUAUUUGUUUGUUUGCAUUGAAUAGGCUCUGAAACUACUUUGCUGAUUUAAAAAUUUCUUACAGCAUUAUAAUCAUGGAUUAGGCCAUAAUUGUUAUCUCUGUAUUCCCACGGGAACGAGAACUACGCUGGUGAAACUGCGUGACGUUUGCAUAGUUUAUCAUAUGUACAAAUAUCCCGACAAUCUAUAUUUUUAUGUAUGAAUUGGUUAAGUUAUAAUUGACUUGAUUUUCCCAAAUAUAUCAGUGAAGUCACCCAAUUGAUGCAUAGAUAUAUUUUUAUUUUGGUUUUCAUUUUACUUACUUACUAAAAUUUAGUUUUAGAAGCAAAAUGAAUAUAUGUAGAUUACAUUUUAGGUGCUGAUGUUUACUUAGUUAUUGAUUAAGUGCAUAAGAUUUUUUAUUUGAUAAUAAAGACAUUUCAACUUGAAA